UCGAGUUGGGGUCUUUCAGGCCCAACCUCCAACCCUUUGUGUAAUUGACCUUGUGUUGCUUCGGCGAGCCCGUCCUCAUGGACCGUCGGGGGUUCUUCAUUGACCCCCUGGCCCGUUGCUCGUCGGUGGCCCACUUAAAUUCUUGAUAAACUCAGUGUCUGAAGCUUGAUGAGUAAUCAAAGCA
Molecule: unclassified non-coding RNA, 184 nt
Filed under: uncultured Chaetothyriales
Lineage: Eukaryota; Fungi; Ascomycota; Eurotiomycetes; Chaetothyriales
Description: sequence contains ITS1
Source: RNAcentral